GUAUGGAGGGGGAUGAGGGGUCAUGUCUCUUCUCAGGGAAAGCAGGAGCCCUUCUACAGGGUCAGGGCCCCUCAUCUUCCCCUCCUUUCCCAG
This 93-nucleotide microRNA precursor is filed under the name Nomascus leucogenys (northern white-cheeked gibbon). RNAcentral's name for it is "miRNA (ENSNLEG00000033965.1)". Lineage: Eukaryota; Metazoa; Chordata; Mammalia; Primates; Hylobatidae. The record is from RNAcentral.